UACGUAGGGGGCAAGCGUUGUCCGGAUUUACUGGGCGUAAAGAGCGUGUAGGCGGCCAAACAGGUCCGUUGUGAAAACUGGAGGCUUAACCUCCAGACGUCGACGGAAACCGUAUGGCUAGAGUCCGGAAGAGGAGAGUGGAAUUCCUGGUGUAGCGGUGAAAUGCGCAGAUAUCAGGAGGAACACCGGUGGCGAAGGCGGGUCGCUGGGCUGACACUGGCGCUGAAGCGCGAAAGCUAGGGGAGCGAACGGG
Molecule: ribosomal RNA, 253 nt
Filed under: uncultured bacterium
Lineage: Bacteria
Description: partial 16S ribosomal RNA
Rfam family: Bacterial small subunit ribosomal RNA
Source: RNAcentral